RNAcentral lists this long non-coding RNA (1819 nucleotides) under Mytilus galloprovincialis (Mediterranean mussel). The record is from RNAcentral. Lineage: Eukaryota; Metazoa; Mollusca; Bivalvia; Mytilida; Mytilidae.
CUGGUGGUUAAAACUUAACAGACUUAUAUAUUAUAAUGUAGAUGAUUUUAAUGGUUUAUUUUUUUUUGUCUACUGAGGCUGUUUUCAAACCUUCUUUACUGGUGGUUAAAACUUAACAGACUUAUAUAUUAUAAUGUAGAUGAUUUUAAUGUUUAUUUUUUUUGUCUACUGAGGCUGUUUUCAAACCUUCUUUACUGGUGGUUAAAACUUAACAGACUUAUAUAUUAUAAUGUAGAUGAUUUUAAUGGUUUAUUUUUUUUUUGUCUACUGAGGCUGUUUUCAAACCUUCUUUACUGGUGGUUAAAACUUAACAGACUUAUAUUCUUGAUUAACUUCAUACACUUAAAACAAAUAUCAAAUAAAUGGGGAAUAUGCCCAUGGGACACACAUGAUGCUCCCGCAAGUUUCAUAACAUUUGGUUGAGGCAAACUUGGGAACAGACAUGAAAUAUUCAGUAAUUUUACCAUUUGUAAAGAGGCAUAACUCAAGAAUGGUUAGAGGUGACACCACCAAAAUUCAUGCUUCAUCUGUAUUUUAUUGUUAUAAGCAUUGUGUAUAAGUUUCAUCAAAUUUGGUUGAGGCCAACUUAAGAUAGUGAACAGAAAUGAAAAAUUCAACAAUUAUUCCAUUUGUCGACAAUAAAGACAACAACACUCAUGUUUUACCGCAUAGUAUCUGUUUAUUGGGUCUACAUGUUUCGCCUAGUAGAUAGGCAUCAUCAGGACAAUUAUACAAAGAAAUAUGACAGUGAAGUAUGAAUCUUGCGGUUUAGCGGUUUAACCGGAAGUGUAAGUUACAUAAUAGUAGUUAUGGUGAUGUUAUAUAAAUAGAAAGUGAAAGUGAAAGUAAAUUAAAAUAGAAAAUAUAUAAAUAGAAAUGUAAGUGUUUUCUUGAAUGGUAACAGCAUCUCGUGUGGUUGACAUCUAUCCCGUUCUGUGUAGUUAAUCUCAUGGGAGGUCUUUGGUGGUAUAGCACGUUGUAGUUAUCUAAAUAAAUAAUCAUGUUAGUGAAUAUUCCAAAUUGGACAACACCUCACUGUUCAUUUCGUACAGUCAACUGGCUUCGCUCUGGGACCCUGGAGUUACUGCUUCCAAUUGUGUCGGAAAUGGUGUGAAGUGUAUGGUCGUCGCACAUUUUGGAAAUUAAAAAAGUGGUAAAUCCGUAAAUAUUUAAUUAUGAGUUGUGUUAAUGAUUAAACCUUUUGAUGUGGUUUGAUGUUGAAUCUGUAAGAGCUUCCAGCAGGUUUCUUCUUUCUAAACCGGUGGUAAAGUAUUGUAAUGGUUGAGACUGUUAAAUCUUUAUGUUAAUUUUGCAUAGUGUCAUAAAUUCAGCUAGGUGGUUUUGAUUUCUUAUUAGUGUAAUCAUCGGUUGUAGCGGUUUCUUCUUCUCUUGCUCCUCUUCUUGAACAGUGUGGAAUCUUGGUCAUUUUCAGGAAAAGAUCGGGAAUCUUGGUAUUGGUCUGUAGUAUAUCCAUGCUGUUGGUCGUAAGGUACAACGCAAGUGUGGCAAGGUGGAUCCUUGCGGAUGCAAGGGUAUUAUUCCAUUUGUAAAGGGGCAUUUCUUUAGAAUGGUUAAAGUAACGCCACAAAAAUUCAUAAUUGAUCUGUGUUUUGUGGUUAUAAGCAUUGUGUAUAGGUUUCAUAACAUUUGGUUAAAGAAAACUAAAGUUAUAUAACAGAAACAAAUUCAGGAUUUUUUCCAUUUGUAAAGGGACAUAACUCUAGAAAGGUUUAGUGAUGAUGCCAGAAUUCAAACUUGAUAUGUGUUUUGAGGUAAUAAGCAUUUUGUAUAUGUUUCAUUACAUUUGGUUGUGGCAAAC